ACACAGCACUGUGCAAACACGAAAGUGGACGUAUACGGUGUGACGCCUGCUCGGUGCUGGCAGGUUAAUUGAUGGGGUUAUCGGCUGGCGUGGUGUUCCUGAUCGAAGCCACACGUAAACGGCGGCCGUGACGAUAACGGUACUAAGGUAGAGAAAUUCCUUGUCGGGUAAGUUCCGACCUGCACGAAUGGCGUAAUGAUGGCCAGGCUGUCUACACCCGAGACUCAGUGAAAUUGAACUCGCUGUGAAGAUGCAGUGUACCCGCGGCAAGACGGAAAGACCCCGUGAACCUUUACUAUAGCUUUACACUGAACCUUGAGCCUUGAUGUGUAGGAUAGGUGGGAGGCUGUGAAGUGCAGACCCAGUCUGCACGGAGCCAUCCUUGAAAUACCACCCUUGAAU
Molecule: ribosomal RNA, 402 nt
Filed under: Xenorhabdus griffiniae
Lineage: Bacteria; Pseudomonadati; Pseudomonadota; Gammaproteobacteria; Enterobacterales; Morganellaceae
Description: bacterial LSU rRNA
Rfam family: Bacterial large subunit ribosomal RNA
Source: RNAcentral